This is a long non-coding RNA of Alosa alosa (allis shad), 242 nucleotides long. RefSeq lists it as uncharacterized. The record is from RefSeq and is a predicted model, not a curated record. Lineage: Eukaryota; Metazoa; Chordata; Actinopteri; Clupeiformes; Clupeidae. The transcript is spliced from 3 exons.
CUAAACUCCACAAGUAGGCUACAACGACAACGGAGGGCGGAAAAAGCGUGACCAAGACCACCGUGGUUCUCCUUUGAAAAAAAUGGACCUGUCCCCUACAGACCCCGAGUCUCUGGUCCAGUUGAAGAGGGUAUCAGUGGUGCUGGUGGACAGCUGUAGAACACAGGAACAACGAGGGAGGAACAGAGAGAACAACACAGAUGCAGAACAAUCCAAGAGCCGAACCGUAUGGAGGAUUGUGG